Molecule: ribosomal RNA, 392 nt
Filed under: uncultured bacterium
Lineage: Bacteria
Description: bacterial SSU rRNA
Rfam family: Bacterial small subunit ribosomal RNA
Source: RNAcentral
GGCCAUAAGACAGGGAUAACGCACGGAAACGUGAGCUAAACCAGAUAGGCAUUUUCCACGCAUGAGGGAGAUGAGAAAGGCGGAGCAAUCUGCCGCUUAUGGAUGGACCUGCGUCGCAUUAGCUAGUUGGAGUGGUAAAGGCACACCAAGGCGACGAUGCGUAGCCGACCUGAGAGGGUGAGCGGCCACACUGGGACUGAGACACGGCCCAGACUCCUACGGGAGGCAGCAGUAGGGAAUCUUCCGCAAUGGACGAAAGUCUGACGGAGCAACGCCGCGUGAGUGAAGAAGGUUUUCGGAUCGUAAAGCUCUGUUGCCAGGGAAGAAGAGCAAGGAGAGGAACUGCUCCUUGAGUGACGGUACCUGAGAAGAAAGCCCCGGCUAACUACGUG